Long non-coding RNA from Triplophysa dalaica, 2636 nucleotides. RefSeq lists it as uncharacterized. Lineage: Eukaryota; Metazoa; Chordata; Actinopteri; Cypriniformes; Nemacheilidae. The transcript has 2 exons. The record is from RefSeq and is a predicted model, not a curated record.
CGACACAACGUCGAGAGACCGACAGAAAGGGAAAAGCUAUUGUUUCCUUACCAUGCACAUGCUCAGGGAAUUGAAUCCUUCAUAUGCUCGAAUCACAGCCUGAAAGAGUGGAAACCCACAUAAAAAACAGAGCAAGGAAAACAAAGAGCUUGCCAUCAGAAAAAGGGCGUUAUUCUUUAAACGCUACGUGCUCUUGGGCUUCGGCUGUCCCAAUUUUUCAACCCCACACACCAUGGCUAUGCUCCAAAAUCUGCCUAGUAGGCAUCAUUUUAAGACGUGAUUAUGCUACAUUCUAAAAUAACAUAUUUUUAUUUGGCAUAUUUGCCUUUAUCCAACAGAGGAAAUCAUUGCGAUUAGCUUUACAAAUCUAUCAAAUAUGUAUCUACCUGUUUCUGUGGUCCAGCUCCAGUUGGACAGUUCUCAUAGUUGAGUUGACUGUACCUUGGGAAGAGGCCAUUAACGAAGUAUUUGAAAGAAAGACUCUCUGGUAUGCCAACUUGGCAGCGGAGGCCAAAGAUCGCGGAUGGACAGCGAAAGUGUUCCCGUUGGAAGUGGGCUGAGGGGCUUUGUUUCCAAUUCCACUACAAGCCUGCUUAAGGAAAUGGGGAUCAGAGGACAGGCCCAACGGACGGUAGUCAAAGAACUUGCCACUGUCGCUUAGAGAAGCAGCCACUGGCUGUGGUGAAACGGAAGGAUGCAAUAUGGGCUGCCAAGUGACCACGUAAUAAAAUGGCGUUGUGUGUUGUAUUGUUAUGCCAUACGGGACCGGGGGCACUGAGCUUGCAUUAACAGAUCCAGUGGGGCUAUAACAGCCUUAGCCAACGUGUUGGCACAUAUGGUUGAGUUUAUAUUUUUGGUCAUUUUUUGUAAUGUUAUGCCAUAUGGGAAAGGGGGAACUGAGCUUGCAUUAACGGAGCUAGUGGGGCUACAACACCCUUAGCCAACGGGUUGGCGCGUAUGGUUGUGUUGAUUUUGAUAAUGUGUUCUAAUGAUAUGCGAUACGGAUCCGGGGGACUGAGCACACAUUAACGGUUUGAGUAGUCGUGACCUAAUGGUUAGAGAGUCUAACGCGUGACCAGAAGGUUGUCGGUUCGAUUCUCAGGGCCGGCGGGUAACGACUGUGGUGCCUUUGAGCUGCAGUUAUAGCUGCCCACUGCUUCUGCCAGAUGGCCUUGUAGCAAUGCGAAACACACCCAGGUCUGAUCAACCUGUAGUGGGCCUCCCUUGGCUGAGGGUGUCUUGUGAUUACGUCUGAAACACCCAAUUUGGCUGAGGUGCACAACUGACAAUGUGUCGCAUUGAUGGGAACCAUACAAAGGGCAUUAUCAGCAGCACCUCACCAAAAGGCAUCUUUCACUCAAGAUAAUGUGAUGAAAUUGGGACGCACAACUCAUGAGAUGUCUCUCUGAUAAUGGCAAGGAAAGGUAAGUAUGCUAUGUUAUUCUAUAAUCAUUUAUGCCCUAACACAGAGGAUGCCUACCCGACGAUCCAGUGAAACCUCAAACCUCCUUUCCUCUAUUCAUAUUCUUGACUGCUUCCCCCUGCAUAAGGCGUGGGAAAUGUUCUAUUGGGCAAUUCAACUGUGCUGAAACUGUGGCAUUAUAACAACUAGUCCUAUUGAAUCUGACAAAUCUAUCAAAGAUGGAGGAUAAAGUGAGAGUCAUUAUAAUCAUUUCAUUGACAUUUAAGCCUCUGAUAAUAUGUUAAUAUACCCACUUUCUAUUGGCAGGUAAGAGCAGAAACAUGGCUUUAUGCAUUUGGCAGCCUCCCAAAGGGUUAAUGGUUCUUGGAAGAAUCGAUUCGUAAAGCAUCAGGGUGAUACGUGAUGAAGUGCGCAAUCCGGAAGAGACGAGGAAACACAGAAAACAUGACCCUCGAGGAAUGAGACUAACUAACUGUCCCUUGCAAGGCUUGCAGCAAUAAUGAAAAGCCAUCCUGAGAGCCCCUCUAAGACACUAUAUAAAUCACUCCUGCUACUCCAAACGAGGCACCACGCUGCCCCAUAGCGAGGGAGAGAGAGAGACAGAGAGAGGGAGACAUGCAUUAUUUACCAACAGAAACUGCAAUAUCAACUUCUUUUUGCCGUCCCGGAUCCGUUUGAGCUGCAGUUGUAAGGUGCCAAUUGUAAAAUGACCGGGAAGUUGUGGAGAGAGAAAUGCGAGAGGAGGGCGACAGAUCACUAAAUCAGCUCAGCACUUAAGAGUGUACAGUUGUCUGGAUGAACGCUUAGUGUCUUUGUUUAUCUUCUACAACAAGUUGAGGGAGGCUGACCAGCAGGCUAUUACUUUAUGUCAGAUGUCCUAAGUGCCACUUCUGCAAUUUCAAAGUAAAACAAAUCAGACAGUCUACAGAUCCAUGGAACAAACUUUUGGCCCAUGAGGAAAAAAAACAACAGGAUUGUCAUUUCAGCUCAAGUAUAACAGAUAGCCUUUUGUUCUCUUCGUUUCUGUUUCUAUCUCUCUUUCAAACCUCCCUACUUAUGUGCCUGCAUUGUGUUUUGCUUUAAACCGAACAGAUCCCAUGGAAAAAGUGUAAAUUCUGUGUAUUUUACUGUAAAAAAUGUACAGUAUGUAGACUAUAGAAUUAGAAUAUUUAUUGUUAAUUAACAUCACAGUAAAGCUAUAGAUGAAUCUAAA